GGAGAAGAGGGAGAGUCUUUUCGCCAGCACUUCUGGCAAGAAGGCUGUUGGGGAAACAAAACAUCCUUCUAACAAGAAGACCGCCCCCGCCCCAUGCCAAUACAGAGGAGCGAGGACAGCUCAUCUGUUCUGGGGCAGGGCGCUCACCGCGUUCAGGCGGUCUGGGCGAGCACACGCAAUCUGGGCCGAAUUUCACACACUGUAUACAGCCAAGCAGAGGAAAGAAAAAUGAAAACCUCUUUUAUCUCUUCAACAGACAGAUGGAUGUACCUUGUAGCAGCCUUCAGUGCAGCUCGUGAGAGAAUCCUGACUCAGUUUUGGAGACUUCUCAAGGACCUGCCAAGAACACCAUGUGCUCUCUUCAACUCCGUUUACCAAGUUAAGAUUUGGCUGCAGCUCGUCAGAAUUGGGAAUUGGUUUUACAACCUCUGAUGUUCCUCUCAACCCUCAGAAUCUACAAUAUUCUGCAUUAGGUACUUUUGCAGAAUUCUUUACUUCUGUCUGCCAGGAAGUAUCAGGUCAGCCGUGUUUGAAGGAGGGACAUGAAUGCAUCCCCUCCUUAACCCCCUUUAUGAAGAGAAACGCACCUCAGCCACAGAGACCGGGCCCGGGGUGCCGCUGUAGGAACCACUUUGUGGAAAGUUAGAUUUAUUCUUUGCUAAAAUGGAAGAACCCUGAGCGCAGGGACCGUGGCGGGCAGCUCUGUCCGCGCAGACACUUGGUAAGCC
RNAcentral lists this long non-coding RNA (728 nucleotides) under Equus asinus (donkey). RNAcentral's name for it is "lncRNA (ENSEASG00005024314.1)". The record is from RNAcentral. Lineage: Eukaryota; Metazoa; Chordata; Mammalia; Perissodactyla; Equidae.